Molecule: ribosomal RNA, 335 nt
Filed under: uncultured eukaryote
Lineage: Eukaryota
Description: partial 18S ribosomal RNA
Rfam family: Eukaryotic small subunit ribosomal RNA
Source: RNAcentral
CCCUUAGAUGUUCGGGGCCGCACGCGCGCUACACUGAUGGGGUCAGCGUGUUUGCACGUCCUGGUCCGGCAGGAUUGGGCAAUCCGUUGAACCUCCGUCGUGAUUGGGAUCGGAGCUUGUAAUUAUUCUCCGUGAACGAGGAAUUCCCAGUAAGCGCAAGUCAUCAGCUUGCGUUGAUUACGUCCCUGCCCUUUGUACACACCGCCCGUCGCUACUACCGAUUGAACGGUUUAGUGAGGGCCUCGGAUUGGUCUCGGCCCGCUCUUUACCGGGCGGCGCCGUUGGUCGAGAAGACGCUCGAACUUGAUCGUUUAGAGGAAGUAAAAGUCGUAACA